This 320-nucleotide ribosomal RNA is filed under the name uncultured Bacteroidota bacterium. RNAcentral describes it as "bacterial SSU rRNA". It matches the Rfam family "Bacterial small subunit ribosomal RNA", at positions 28 to 351 of the family's 1533-position model. Lineage: Bacteria; Pseudomonadati; Bacteroidota. The record is from RNAcentral.
GAUGAACGCUAGCGGCAGGCUUAACACAUGCAAGUCGAGGGGUAUAGGUUUUCGGACCUAGAGACCGGCGCACGGGUGCGUAACGCGUAUGCAAUCUACCUUUUACAGAGGGAUAGCCCAGAGAAAUUUGGAUUAAUACCUCAUAGUAUUAUGACUCGGCAUCGAGAUAUAAUUAAAGUCACAACGGUAAAAGAUGAGCAUGCGUCCCAUUAGCUUGUUGGUAAGGUAACGGCUUACCAAGGCAACGAUGGGUAGGGGUCCUGAGAGGGAGAUCCCCCACACUGGUACUGAGACACGGACCAGACUCCUACGGGAGGCAG